AGUGAACGCUGGCGGUAGGCCUAACACAUGCAAGUCGAACGGCAGCACAGUAAGAGCUUGCUCUUACGGGUGGCGAGUGGCGGACGGGUGAGGAAUACAUCGGAAUCUACUUUUUCGUGGGGGAUAACGUAGGGAAACUUACGCUAAUACCGCAUACGACCUACGGGUGAAAGCAGGGGAUCUUCGGACCUUGCGCGAUUGAAUGAGCCGAUGUCGGAUUAGCUAGUUGGCGGGGUAAAGGCCCACCAAGGCGACGAUCCGUAGCUGGUCUGAGAGGAUGAUCAGCCACACUGGAACUGAGACACGGUCCAGACUCCUACGGGAGGCAGCAGUGGGGAAUAUUGGACAAUGGGCGCAAGCCUGAUCCAGCUAUACCACGUGGGUGAAGAAGGCCUUCGGGUUGUAAAGCCCUUUUGUUGGGAAAGAAAAGCAGCAGGUUAAUACCCCGCUGUUCUGACGGUACCCAAAGAAUAAGCACCGGCUAACUUCGUG
This 492-nucleotide ribosomal RNA is filed under the name uncultured bacterium. RNAcentral's name for it is "partial 16S ribosomal RNA". It matches the Rfam family "Bacterial small subunit ribosomal RNA", at positions 29 to 507 of the family's 1533-position model. The record is from RNAcentral.